ACAAACUUGGUCAUUUAGAGGAAGUAAAAGUCGUAACAAGGUUUCCGUAGGUGAACCUGCGGAAGGAUCAUUAUCGAAUUGUUAAUAACUUGGUUGUCGCUGGCUUUCGAGAGAGAGCAUGUGCACGCCCGGUUUAAACUCUUCACUUUAACCUCCUGUGCACUUUUGUGGAUUUGUGGAUUGGAUAUUUUAUCAAAGUAACAUUUGGUCUUGGGAGUUUGGGCUUUCGAGCUUUUAUUCUCCUGCAUCUAAUUCCGCAGAUUCAUGUCUUUUUUACAAACUAUUAUUACAACUUUGAAUGUUUUAAUGAGUUGGGAAACUUUUGUAACCCUUCUUAAAUUUUAUACAACUUUCAACAACGGAUCUCUUGGCUCUCGCAUCGAUGAAGAACGCAGC
This 396-nucleotide unclassified non-coding RNA is filed under the name uncultured fungus. Its description in RNAcentral is "partial contains small subunit ribosomal RNA, internal transcribed spacer 1, and 5.8S ribosomal RNA". The stretch from base 1 to 73 matches the Rfam family "Eukaryotic small subunit ribosomal RNA", at positions 1759 to 1831 of the family's 1831-position model. Lineage: Eukaryota; Fungi. The record is from RNAcentral.